UACGAAGGGGGCUAGCGUUGCUCGGAAUUACUGGGCGUAAAGCGCACGUAGGCGGCUUCUUAAGUCGGUGGUGAAAUCCUGGAGCUCAACUCCAGAACUGCCUUCGAUACUGGGAGCUCGAGUCCGGGAGAGGUGAGUGGAACUGCGAGUGUAGAGGUGAAAUUCGUAGAUAUUCGCAAGAACACCAGUGGCGAAGGCGGCUCACUGGCCCGGUACUGACGCUGAGGCGCGAAAGCGUGGGGAGCAAACAGGG
RNAcentral lists this ribosomal RNA (253 nucleotides) under uncultured bacterium. RNAcentral's name for it is "partial 16S ribosomal RNA". It matches the Rfam family "Bacterial small subunit ribosomal RNA", at positions 524 to 777 of the family's 1533-position model. The record is from RNAcentral.